This 253-nucleotide ribosomal RNA is filed under the name uncultured bacterium. Its description in RNAcentral is "partial 16S ribosomal RNA". It matches the Rfam family "Bacterial small subunit ribosomal RNA", at positions 524 to 776 of the family's 1533-position model. The record is from RNAcentral.
UACGAAGGGGGCUAGCGUUGCUCGGAAUCACUGGGCGUAAAGGGUGCGUAGGCGGGUCUUUAAGUCAGAGGUGAAAUCCUGGAGCUCAACUCCAGAACUGCCUUUGAUACUGAGGAUCUUGAGUUCGGGAGAGGUGAGUGGAACUGCGAGUGUAGAGGUGAAAUUCGUAGAUAUUCGCAAGAACACCAGUGGCGAAGGCGGCUCACUGGCUCGUUUCUGACGCUCAGGCGCGACAGCGUGGGGAUCAAACAGG